This 5679-nucleotide long non-coding RNA is filed under the name Takifugu rubripes (torafugu). RNAcentral describes it as "lncRNA (ENSTRUG00000028771.1)". Lineage: Eukaryota; Metazoa; Chordata; Actinopteri; Tetraodontiformes; Tetraodontidae. The record is from RNAcentral.
GGAGGAGUGGAGGCUGCUGGGUAACCUGCUCUGCAGGUUUGUCUAGUGAAUCAUUCACUCCUGCUGCAGCACUCAGAAGGACGACUGGAGCUCGUGUUCAUCAUGAGCAAAGGCGGCACGCUGAAAGUGAAAAACUUUCUGAAACUAAAGCCAUCUGACAAAGACAGCAAAGAACACAAACUCUCAGACUAUAUCAAAGAUGCAGCAGGGGUUACUUUCAAAGGGGCGACCCACAACUCUCCGCAAAAUCCCGGUCCUGUCAGCCCUGGAGGCAGUGUCGGGCCGGCCGCUGAUUCAGUACCAGUGUCCCCGAGAUCCAAGAAAGGACUGAGGCAGCUCUUCAAAAGCUCAGCCAAGAAAUCCAGAAGCAGGGGCGCGGAAGGAGAAGUGGACGUGUUUUUCCCUGACCACGAUGACAUGGGCACAUUCAGCAGGCACUGGAGCUACGACCAGAUGAGUGUUUCCACAGAGUACAGCAUCCAGACGGAGUCACAGCUGGACCCUCAGUCCGAGUCCACCUCCAUGAUCAGCUUUGACAUGAGUCAGUCGUACAGCCCAACAUCGGCCUCCAAAUACUUCAAGAAUUCAGAAGAGAGAAGGGGCAUGCUCAAUCGCAUUAGCCAUUUCUUCAGCACCAGGAGGAAGAGGAGCAGCAGUAAGCGGCAUUCAGACAGCGACAGUGUCGUAUCACCACCUCUUUCUCCAUGUUCAGUCCAGUCUGAAGAGGAAGAUGGACUGAAGACUCCAACGCCAUCUCGUAAAGAUUGUGACAUAUCGUUGCCUGGUUUGGCAAAUGCCACAAGAGAACCAGAGCUUUUUGAGACCCUUAGCCAAAGCUCUGGCCAAAGCACCUCCAGCAUUGUGUCUCUAGUAAGAUGUAAUGAAGAGGAUUCUCGGAGCAUUACACCCAAAACUUUGGGCCUUGCUGUCACACCUCGUCCGAAUCCAAAUUCAGAGCGAGGCUCAGAAUCACGAGUGCAGAACAAGCAUCUACAGAGCAGCAGCAUAGUCCAAAGUUCCACAGAAUGUUCCAAAGAGGAUGAGCCUGUCAAUCACACGACACUGUUAGAAUCCAAAAUCCCACUUUCUGAGGUCACUGCCACUCCAAGUGUCCCAACAUCACCCAGCUCAGAUGCUUCCAUAUCUAAUAACUCCAGGAACACUGUAGAAAACCAGCAAAGGUCAAGUCAAACAGUCUUUCCAUCAUCUGCCUUGGAUUUGACUCCACGGGUCAUUGAAGAGGGUCCAGACACACCAAGGGAGGAUGCAGGAGCCAAUGAGAUGCAAGUCAGCCAUCCGUGUGAACGGGAACACCCACCAGGAACUACCCAUCCAUUCUGUCCCCUCCAGCUCCACAAAGCCAUAAAGGUGGAGGGUUACCUGAGAGAAGAGGAGAAAGAAAAAGAGAAAGCAGACAAUGCAAAAGGUCUAACAAAUGACUGGCAGGAUGACUUCCAAGCGGACAUGCCCCUCGUCCUGGCUGUACCUGCAGCCAUCAUUCCGGAGGAUUCUGACACUCAAGAUACUACAGACAACCUGUCCAACACUUUGUCUUCCAUCGGGUAUUUGCAACAACCAGGCACCUCACAGGACUCCCAGACAGGCUUGCUAAAGACAACUGGGCCAAGCAGCAGUAAGGAAUCAAAGCCAAGCACACCUCAGGAGAGACACGCAGCAGGAGAAGUUUGUGUUACUCGCAAAACUGUUAAUUUGCCUUCAAAACACAAAGUAAUGCCUCAGAGAGUGUGUGGACCCAAAGUACAGAAAUUAGCUCAGGAGAAAGCAACUAUAGAGGAAAAGAGACAAUCACCUUCUCAGAAGAUCUCAGAUGCUGAUGUGGUGAGAUCUCAGAUGCUACAGUGCGUCGAAACCAAAGAGAAGCUCAUCCAAAUCAGCUGUGAGCCAACAAAAAAGCCAGUAGAGUGUGACAGAAACCCUCCGGGACCCUCGAAUCAAGAACAAACUGAGAUCGCAGCGUCGCACGGACACAAAAUAGUGGUUGGCGGUGACUCCAGGGUGAAAGGCCAGCUUAGCAAAGUCACACUCUCUAACCAAAUAAGUAACUCUGCAGUGGAAAGGAGCCCCGUCGUGGAGGGUGAAGCAAAGUGUGCACUGAUAAAAAUUGCAAAUGAUGCCAAGAAUGAAGCAAAUUCUAGCCAAGUCUUCAAGAUGAACAAAAUUGGAAUUGGUAAUGAUGUCUCGCAAAGUAAACACAGCAAUGAUGAUGCAUUUAAAGACCAAGGCAAGUGCGAUCCUUGUCUUCAAACAGUAUCAAAGUCAAAAAUCCCCAAAAGGUUGAUCCCAGGUGACGACGUAGCAGUGACAGUGUGCGACACCUCACUGACAGAUGCCUCUGGAAGAGUUGCAAUCAAAGCCCAGAAACAAACUUGCACCAAAGAAUCUUCAAAAACAGAAAAUAAAGUGGACAAAAAGCACAUGACAGAAAAAAAAGAGGACUUAAGUGACAUUGGUGGUGUAGGAAAACAAGGGGAUAGCAUUAAAACAGCACAGUCGGUGGAGAAGCAAAGCAAAUAUCCUGUAAACAAUGCAUGCGACCGUGAGGACGUGAGGGCCUCCUUGGCAUUAAAGAGUGCCAACAUUCCAUGUCUGACUGGAAAAAACUGUGAUAUCACAACUAUAAAUGAGACAAAGAGACCAGCAAAGACCAGCAAAAUAAAUCUGGAAUCAGAGCUACAACAGAGCCCUAAAAAGCAGACAUUGGCCCAAGGUCCCAAACACUCAAAGACAGGUAAGCUGUUAGCUACACCUAAGUGGGAACGAAUGUUCAGCAUGAAGGAAAUCUCACAUUUGGUGGUAAAAUUUAGCAUGUUAUAGAGAUGUACUGUAGAUGAACGGUAGUCUGAUAGUUGAAGCAUUAAAGGAAUAUUUUCACUGUGAACUUUUUAUGAGUUCUCAGAGCUUUUCAGGCAGUCUGGACAUCCCUAGUCAAAAUGACUCUUGAUGUGAAGCAUUAAGCAAGUUGAAGAUGAGAUGGUCUCCAAAAGGCACAAAGUGAAACACACUUGUUUCAAGAACCAUGGCCAAUUUGUUUUUGAUUGUAAGUGGGGCAAAUGGGAAAGAUGGACCACGUAGUUGGAUCCAUCAAGCUAAGGAAUUCCAAAAAAUUCUGGAAGCAAACAAACCAAUCUGUAAAAAAAAAAAAAAGCUGAAGUGAAAACGAGGACGGCUUCUGGAUAAUGAUCCUGAACACUCCUCCAAAUCCAUGAUGCACCACUUAGACAGGUGCACGCUGAAGGUUUUGCCAUGACCCUCUCAGUCUCCUGGCCACAGCAUCAUUGGAAAAGUAUGGACAGACAGACAGACAGAGGAGACAGAGGAGCAGGUGGAGCACAUAAAUCUGACAAAGUCAAAGACUUUUAGCAUUGAGAAUACCUGAAAACAAGAGUGGAAGGCUGCUGAAAACUGUGUUUACAAGCUGUGGUGCUGGCCAGAGGGGUGCGACUGGGUACCAAAUAUGCAGGGGGUCCAACUGUUUGCUGCAGGCCCGUUCCCUUUUCUUUUAUAUUGAAAAUGAAAAAGAUAAAAUACAUUUUUUUAAAAACAUUUUUUUAAUAUAAAGGUUUUAUUUGUAACUUUAUUCCUUUUGGAGAUCAAUUCCUCAUCAACUUGCAUAAGUGGCCACAGUAACUUGUUCCUAGAUCACACUCAUUGUGUGUGUGUGUGUGUGUGUGUGUGUGUGUGUGUGUGUGUGUGUGUCUUUUCAGCAGGUAGCAAACAGCCACCUAAACCACCCAAACACUCCAUCAAAAGCAGACCUACUCUUCAAGACUGUGAGCCUUCAUCUCCCGCCAGCAAUGACAACACACUACAGCUGUCUAAGCAAAGUACAACCAAGACCAGCAUGAAAGAGCAAGAAGAUAUGACAUCAAGUGGAGGCCAGGUUCCUGCGGGCGAUCCAAAGAGCCUCAUUCCAGUAAAGGCAAGAAAAAUAUCACCUGACUCUCCCUCAAACCCGACUGCUGUUGAGCAGGAACACUCAAAGCAGAAUACCAACCCUUGGAGAGCCGUCGAUACACCCAUUCAUGCUACAGAACAUCAAGUGAAGGUCAGUAGUGACCAAGUCAGAUUGAAACCUAUGGAAGAUCAGAACAAAGUGGUCACAGACACAAAAUCCAGUUCCAGUACAAUUAGUAUGAAGAGAAAACAAUCAAAGGCAUCUGAGGCAAGUAAGAGCAGCUCCAUCAGCAAAGAUAUCGUUAAAGGAGAUGUUAGUCUGGUCACUGGCCCAGACACUGAAGCAGUGGGUCAGGUGGUUGGUACCAGUCCACCCUAUUCACCAGCCGCUCUUAAAAAUAUGGCUGAAGUUGACAGUCAACAACCACUCGAUCAGACUCAGACGCAAACAAAAGUUGAGAUUCUGCCUAAAACUCCACUGUGUACUGGUCAAAAAAAGGAUCUUCCAGGGUCAAACCAGGUAGUCAAUGACCCAACUGCAGAUAUACAGCAGGAGGAACAGGCCACUGAGAGCAGUCCUGCAAGGUUGUCUCAGGAUCUGAUAGCAGCUCAGGAGGAUAUCAGGGCUUUAUCAUCACAAACCACUGGACCAGAUGAGGACUUGAAGAAGAUACAAAGAGCAGAGAAAGGUCAACUUGAUGGGACAGCAGAGGGUUUGAACAUUGACCCCGAGAAUGCAGAUGUCGGCCAGUACCCCGUUAAUGUUGAAAAUAAACUAACAAAUUUGAGAGAGGAUUUGAGAGAUGAAUUAGAAAGACAGUUGGAUUUCAAGACAAACAAGAAACUGAACUCUGACCUGAAAGCUCAACGCAGUCCCUUACAGUCUCUUAGAGAGACAGGGAAAGCCAUUCCAGAAGCCUCACUAGUAACAAACUUCCAGACAGAGGGCAGUGAUACUCAAGUCAAGAGCGCAUUAGAUGAAAAUGAAGCCAGUGUCAUGGAUAUAGGACAAGACUCUGAGUUAAGGAGAGUUAAGGAGAUAGAAGUAGAAAGGUCAACAGUGCUGUGCGACGACAAGCACUUAAAUCCUGAGAGUCUGAAAAAAUCAAAGCAAAUAGUUGCUGAUGUUCUAGGAAUGGAUGUAACCGAUGUAAUGCAAGAAUCUGACAGCCACAUGAAAGAAAAGGCAGGUGUCCAGCAAGAGGUGCAAUUUAAAAAAGACCCACUGAGUGGCAACGAGACUGGGAGGUUCAGCGAUAUACCUAUCGAAGAACAUGUUUACGCAAAAAUGAAGAGAAAACAAUCAAAGGCAUCUGAGGCAAGUAAGAGCAGCUCCAUCAGCAAAGAUAUCGUUAAAGGAGAUGUUAGUCUGGUCACUGGCCCAGACACUGAAGCAGUGGGUCAGGUGGUUGGUACCAGUCCACCCUAUUCACCAGCCGCUCUUAAAAAUAUGGCUGAAGUUGACAGUCAACAACCACUCGAUCAGACUCAGACGCAAACAAAAGUUGAGAUUCUGCCUAAAACUCCACUGUGUACUGGUCAAAAAAAGGAUCUUCCAGGGUCAAACCAGGUAGUCAAUGACCCAACUGCAGAUAUACAGCAGGAGGAACAGGCCACUGAGAGCAGUCCUGCAAGGUUGUCUCAGGAUCUGAUAGCAGCUCAGGAGGAUAUCAGGGCUUUAUCAUCACAAACCACUGGACCAGAUGAGGACUUGAAGAAGAUACAAAGAGCAGAGAAAGGUCAACUUGAUGGGACAGCAGAGGG